Molecule: ribosomal RNA, 568 nt
Filed under: uncultured fungus
Lineage: Eukaryota; Fungi
Description: eukaryotic LSU rRNA
Rfam family: Eukaryotic large subunit ribosomal RNA
Source: RNAcentral
ACAGGAUUCCCCUAGUAACGGCGAGUGAAGCGGGAAGAGCUCAAAUUUGUAAUCUGGCACUUUCAGUGUCCGAGUUGUAAUCUCGAGAAGUGUUUUCCGCGCUGGACCGCAUACAAGUCUGUUGGAAUACAGCGUCAUAGUGGUGAGAACCCCGUAACUGAUGCGGAUGCCCAGUGCUUUGUGAUACACUUUCGAAGAGUCGAGUUGUUUGGGAAUGCAGCUCAAAUUGGGUGGUAAAUUCCAUCUAAAGCUAAAUAUUGGCGAGAGACCGAUAGCGAACAAGUACCGUGAGGGAAAGAUGAAAAGCACUUUGGAAAGAGAGUUAACAGUACGUGAAAUUGUUGGAAGGGAAACGCUUGAAGUCAGACUUGCUAUUUGGAUUUAUUCAAUUCGCAGGCCAGCAUCAGUUUUCGGGGGUGGAAAAGGGUUUGGAGAAGGUAGCAACUCCGGUUGUGUUAUAGCUCCUUGCUGGAUUCAUCUUUGGGGACUGAGGAACGCAGCACGCUUUUUGCAAGGCUUUCGAGCUUUUCGUGCUUAGGAUGCUGGUGGAAUGGCUUUAAACGACCCG